Long non-coding RNA from Podarcis raffonei (Aeolian wall lizard), 3112 nucleotides. RefSeq lists it as uncharacterized. NCBI's taxonomy places the organism in Eukaryota, Metazoa, Chordata, Lepidosauria, Squamata, Lacertidae. The transcript is spliced from 2 exons. The record is from RefSeq and is a predicted model, not a curated record.
UGGGCGAGGGCCAGGUGUGUGGGCUGAGCUGGAGUUGGGGGGUUUAGAGGGCACCUUCUCUUGAAGGGCAAAUACCCUGCCAGAGGAUUUCCCCCUCUGGCUUGGCACAUAUUUUGGUCUUGGAAUCAUAGAAUUGUAGAGUUGGAAGGGACCCCCAAAGGGCAUCUAGUCCAGCCCCCUGCAACUCAGGAAUCACAGCUAAAGAACCCCUGCGGGAUGGCCAUCCAACCUCUGGUUAAAAACCUCCCGUGAAGGAGAGUCUCACCCUACCAAAUCUUUCUUUUGAGGUGGGUGUUGAAGAGGACUCUUGAUGGCACAGAGCAGGGCUGGGGGACUGGAAUUCCGGGCCACUUUGACAGGUGGACAGGGGGAGUGCAGUGCAGCAGGUAGAGCAGUGCUUCCCAAACUUUUUCAGGCCACCGCUGCCUUGGUUCCAUAACCUCAUCCCCAGUGCCCCCUACUCUGUAAAAAGCAUUAUUCAAAAUAGUGGCUUGCAUGACACGUUAAGGUAAAUAAUAACCCACUAGAAUUCAAAACAGUAACAGUUAAUUGCACAUUUAUUCAAAAUCCAGUUAACGCUAUUUAGCUUAAUUAUUUCAAGAAAACUGAUGAACUUGAUACAUUGAUACCAGCUUUUCGAAGUCUGAGUGUUAUUUACACCUCUAGCGGUCUCCCCCCUCCACCCUUUUGCCUCUUAGUGCCCCCCUAAGGAAUCACACUAGUGUUUGACUAAGACCUGGGGGACCAGAGUUCAAAUCCCCACUCAGCCAUGAAGCUCCCACUGGGUGACCUUGGGGGCUCUUGUCCCUGUUCCCAGGCUAAUCUACCUCACAGGGUUCUUGUGAGGAUAAGAUGUGCAGAGGGAGAACCAACCAAUGCCACCUUGAAUUCCUUGGAUGGAAGGAGGUGGGGUAGGACUGUUGUACAUAAAUAAAAAUACAUGACAGGUCAUAGGAUGUUCAAGGUGUGAUUGCAGAGGAAGAGGAAGCAGGAGAAGGUGCCUUCUUGACUCUUCCUUUACAGGCAAAAUCCUGCCCUUUUCCUGUUACUGUGCAGGGCAAUAGACGAAGAUGUUCCGUUAAAAAGCAGCCCAUUUUGCCUGUAAAGGAAGAGUCGGGGGUGAGAGCACUUAGAGGGGGCUCCAGCUUGCGGUCUCAAGCCUUACCUUGAAUUUUCUUACAUCUGAUUCACCUGCCAUCAGGGCUGGGAAAGGUAGGCGUGGUUUAUUUUGUUUGUUUUGUUUGGAGCAUUUGCGUCCCACACUUCAGCCCAAAAGACUCCCAGAGCAGCUUAGACUAGUGGACAAAAUUGUGGAAACCUUUUGGAAAAGGUGUAUUUCUGAGGUUUGAUGGCUCAUAACACCACUUUUUUUGGGGAGUAAUACCAUAAAAUUAUAUAUCAAUGGAGAGAUAAUUUAAUGAAGAAUGCAACAUUAAGUUCACUUACCUGUAUUCUGUAAAAAGUUAUACCUAAAUAACCAGAAAAGGGAAGCACAACUUCCUUAGGCUGAUAUGCAGUAGCGUUCCUUCAUUUGAAUGUAGCCAAUGAGCAUGAGUGUUUAGAGAGCCAAUCAGGUGUCGUCUUGUUUUGGCAAUGAUCCAAUCAGGUCACAGUAGGAUUCAGCUGUUGAUGUUAUGUACUGGAGCUGAGAGGAGGACAUUGGUCAGUGUGUUAGGUGAUUGCUAUCAAGUUGGUUGGUUUUUUUUGUGUUCUUUCAUUUAGUGAGCUUGUAAAAUGUAAUGAAAUUAAAGAAAUGGUGCAAAGAGUUGACUGGUAACCCAGAAAGCGAUGUAAAAUAGUACUGUUAAGUGAACAAGGCUACAGUUAUGAAGAAAUUAGAAGAAAAAUUGGUGGAAACUUAACUAAAGGUGGCAUUUCUAAAUUUUUGAAGAGGCAUAAGGAGACUCAGUCACUACAAAAUCAGACUGGUAAAGGUAGGAAAAGGUGCACAACAGCAAGUAACAACAGAAGAAUUGAGAGACUGUGGCUACGUGGCAGAAAAAUAAUCUGGGUGUAUACAAGAUGACAUGGCGCAAUGUAGUGUGAAGUUGAGUGCAAGGACUGUUUGGCGCAGACUUCAGGAAUAUGUUCUAAAUGCUAGAAUUCCAAGGGAAAAGCCACAGUUAUUUCUCAAAGGCUGAAAAGAUUAAACUGGGCUAAAACCCAACUGGACAGCAGAACAGUGGGACAGUGUUAUUUGGAGUGAUGAGAGCAAAAUCUCCUUGCUUGGUAGUGAUGGCGUGAAAUAUGUGAGGAGAAGAAUCGGAGAAGAUUUGCAUCCUACUUGCAUUACACCUACCGUGAAACACCCAGUUAGUGUUAUGAUCUGGGGUUGUAUGACAGCAAAAGCUGUGGGCAGAAUUUGCAUCAUUAAUGGGAAUGUAAAUGCCCCAAAAUACAUAAAUGAAAUACUUGAGCCCGAACUGAAGCGUUCCAGACAUGAUCUUUUCCCAGACAAUGAAGCAUUUAUAUAAAUAUUUAUUUAAUAUUUAUUUAAUAUUUAAGCAGGAUUUAGCUCCAUGUCAUGUUGCUGCUGUGUGCAAAAGGUGGUUUCAAGAUAAUCAUAUUCCACUGCUGGAAUGGCCUGGGAAUAGCCCAGACCUUAACCCAAUCAAAAAUCUAUGGAGCCAACUAAAGAAACUUGUUAGUCAGAAGCAACCCAGCAAUAAAACCCAAUUAAUAGAGGCAAUAAUUCAAUCUUGGUUUCACAUUAUUACAGUUGCAGAACUAAAAAACUUGGUUCAUUCCAUAGGAAGGCAUCGUAAUGCCGUAAUUAAAGCUAAAGUUUACCCAACUAAGUAUUAACUGACAUGGUGAGAAUUCUUGCAUAUCUCAUUUUUUCUAUGUGUUUCACGUUUCUUCUUUAUAACUGCUGUGAUAAUAAAUAAUCCUUCAUAAAAGUUAUUGCAUUACAUUCUUCUUUAAAUUAUCUUUCCAUUGAUACAUAAUUUUAUGGUAUUACUCCAAAAAAGAAGUGGUGUUAUGAGCCAUCAAACCUCGGAAAUGCACUUUUCCCAAAAGGUUUCCACAAUUUUGGCCACAAGAGUCCAUAUGAUCAAGACAAGACAAUCCCUACCUGCAGGCUUACAGUCUAUUAAAAACAAACAAACCA